UACGGAGGGGGCUAGCGUUGUUCGGAAUUACUGGGCGUAAAGCGCACGUAGGCGGAUUGGAAAGUCAGAGGUGAAAUCCCAGGGCUCAACCUUGGAACUGCCUUUGAAACUCCCAGUCUUGAGUUCGAGAGAGGUGAGUGGAAUUCCGAGUGUAGAGGUGAAAUUCGAUAGAUAUUCGGAGGAAACACCAGUGGCGGAAGGCGGGCUCACUGGCUCGAUACUGACGCUGAGGGUGCGAAAAGCCGUGGGGGAGCAAAACAGGGA
Molecule: ribosomal RNA, 264 nt
Filed under: uncultured bacterium
Lineage: Bacteria
Description: partial 16S ribosomal RNA
Rfam family: Bacterial small subunit ribosomal RNA
Source: RNAcentral